Molecule: transfer RNA, 84 nt
Filed under: Serpula lacrymans var. lacrymans S7.3
Lineage: Eukaryota; Fungi; Basidiomycota; Agaricomycetes; Boletales; Serpulaceae
Rfam family: tRNA
About the family: Transfer RNA (tRNA) molecules are approximately 80 nucleotides in length.
Source: Rfam by way of RNAcentral
GGCGUUAUAGUGUAGCGGUCUUAUCACUCGAGAUUUUGACGGGUUUGAUUUCUCGAAACCCAGGUUCGAUUCCUGGUAACGCCU